AGGGGAUAAGGAUGAAGACCUCCCUGCUGCAGAUUAGUGGAAUUCCACUAACAUAGUGAGAAAUGACCAUAAUGCCCCUCGACUUAAGUCCGUUUAGCGACCUUGGAUCAGAUACCUUUCGUAGGUUCUUCCGAAAGUCCGAUUGAGCUCAAAUUUGGCAGGAAUGUUCGUUUUUACUUAACAAGUCCACUGAAAUUUUAACAUUUCAGUUUCGACCUCGUUUGGUCACUGCGAACUGUCCCGAACUGUAACCUUUAUCAGAUGACUUCCAGAUGCUAUUUCUCUCUCUACAGGUGUCAGAAAAAUCUGAAACUUCAAAUUUAGCCUCAUAAAAAUGUUCCUGACAUCUCUGCCAAUUUUCAUAAUUUUCUGACACUGUGCAUUUUCUGCUAAUUUUCUCAGUCCCGUUCUUUACAGAAAAUUCUAAAUUUUCCGUUUUCACUCCGAUUUCACCCAAACAUGUCCAAAAGAUACCAAGGGACCUUCCCAAGCUACCAAUUUAAUUUGGAAGCAAUCUCUUUUCAUUUUGACAUUAUUUGAGCCGAAUUAGAAAUAGAAUCGGCUCCAAUUCCAUUUCAUGGCCUUUUUGCACUACCACUUCGCACGGAGCUCUUCAAAACCCUUUGAAAACACACCCUUGGCUUUACCAAAACUUCACAAUUGAUUCGAAGAUGCCACAAUUUAUCCUCACGCCUUACUUUAAUUCUUUUAAUCAAAGUUAGCGUCGGAAAUCCGAAAAUUCUCUUUACUUUUCGUUUCGCGCCCAAUUGGCGCCGAAACACUUAUUUAUCUCCAGAAUUCAUUCCAACGCAUCACAAUUCACUCUG
Molecule: long non-coding RNA, 827 nt
Filed under: Ananas comosus (pineapple)
Lineage: Eukaryota; Viridiplantae; Streptophyta; Magnoliopsida; Poales; Bromeliaceae
Description: long non-coding RNA (ACOM_LNC038967)
Source: RNAcentral